This is a long non-coding RNA of Arvicola amphibius (Eurasian water vole), 606 nucleotides long. RefSeq lists it as uncharacterized. Lineage: Eukaryota; Metazoa; Chordata; Mammalia; Rodentia; Cricetidae. The transcript has 3 exons. The record is from RefSeq and is a predicted model, not a curated record.
GAAGCUCCGGCCCAAGAUGGAUGUGGGUUAGAAUCUUCCUGUCCAGUGGUAUGGACUAUGACAAGAACGAGAUGGCCUCUGAGGGUGAAGGGCAGGUUGUUCCAGCUCUCCUCUCCUGCAACCAGGAAAUAUGUGACCGAUGACCUCUGCAGACUGGCAUGGGAAUGAACUCUAAUCCAUAAUCUCCUGGGUUUACUGCUUCAACAAGUGGAGACUCCAAGCCAAACAGCUGAAAGACUGGGGGUUGGAAGAGGAAGAAGUACAUCAGCAAGAUCGAAGCCCGGGACCCGUGGUCUGAGUCAUUGACUUCAGCUGUCCAUCGGCUGGCACUGCCCAUCUGCCUGGAGCCUCUCCUUCUGGUACCCGCUGAUAAUGGACCUUCCGGGCCCUCCACAGUGACCUCAUUUCCUCCAUCUCCCUCAUUCCUCCAUUAGAGUUUUCUUCCUCCUUAAUCAUUUUAAAAUGGAGUUAUGUUAUGUGUAAGGGUGUUUUGUCUAUAUGCAUGUCUGUGCAUCAUGUAUGUGCCUGGUGCUAACAGAGGCCAGGAAAGGGUGUCAGGUCCCCUGGGACUAGAGUUAUAGGCAGUGGUUGUGAACCAAGUGAGUA